Molecule: unclassified non-coding RNA, 665 nt
Filed under: Hevea brasiliensis (rubber tree)
Lineage: Eukaryota; Viridiplantae; Streptophyta; Magnoliopsida; Malpighiales; Euphorbiaceae
Source: RNAcentral
AAAAAAAAAAAAAAAAAAGAUGUUUCAUGUGAAUGUCACAGUUUUAUGCAACAUAAAUGACAUUCUGGGGCUAGUAAAACCCUUGAAGCAUGACAGCUCAUGUGAUAAGUUAUUUUUUUUGGGCCCACAAAUGAUAGCCACUAGGAACAAACACUAGAAGUUCCAAAACGCCGAUCAUGUAGAGUCCUUUUGCACAUCAACCAUAAUCAUUAUAAAAGAUGUUCACUUUGUAAGAUAUGAUGCAUGCCAAUGGAAUGUACAACAACAAUGUCUUCUUUUGUGCCGCCCCCCGCCCCCCAAGUCACUAAAAAGUGCCAUCACAAAAUUUGGAUCCUUAAGCUUUUCAAAACAUACCAAACUCUGUGUGGUUUCUUUUCUGACUAUUAAAUUUAUUCCCAUGGUAACGAAAUCAGAGAACUAGCAAAGAAGACCUAAACAUAGAGGAACUGGCACAACAAAUACAUUUGGUCAUCCAUAGAUAAAUUCUAUUGGCAACUUUACAUUCAAAAUAAAGCAUUAAAGGACAUUCAUUCCCUGUACCAUUGGUACUUGAAAAUGCUUAAAAAAAUGUGCCGAUAAUUUCUAUGAAGUACAAAGCUUGAGGAUAUAUCUGUCCAGGGAAACAAAAAGCAAUAACAAACCUGGAUAACACUUAAUGAACUAUU